This 252-nucleotide ribosomal RNA is filed under the name uncultured bacterium. RNAcentral describes it as "partial 16S ribosomal RNA". It matches the Rfam family "Bacterial small subunit ribosomal RNA", at positions 524 to 776 of the family's 1533-position model. The record is from RNAcentral.
UACGUAGGCAGCGAGCGUUGUUCGGAAUUACUGGGCGUAAAGAGUGUGUAGGCGGUGCUCCCAGUCUGUUGUGAAAUCUCCCGGCUUAACUGGGAGGGUGCAGCGGAAACUAGAGUGCUAGAGGGUGGGAGAGGUAAGCGGAAUUCCUGGUGUAGCGGUGAAAUGCGUAGAUAUCAGGAGGAACACCUGUGGUGUAGACAGCUUACUGGACCACUUCUGACGCUGAGGACGAAAGCGUGGGGAGCAAACAGG